CCUCUAGAUGAUGAAGAACUGGUGUCGUACAUCCUCGCGGGCCUCGACAUCGACUACAAUCCAUUGGUAUCCACUGUUGUUGGUCGUUCUGAUCCAAUCUCUUUAAGUGAUCUGUAUUCCCAGAUGGUUAGUUACGACA
Non-coding RNA from Oryza glumipatula, 139 nucleotides. The record is from Rfam. NCBI's taxonomy places the organism in Eukaryota, Viridiplantae, Streptophyta, Magnoliopsida, Poales, Poaceae.